GGAAUUUUGCGCAAUGGGCGAAAGCCUGACGCAGCAACGCCGCGUGGAGGACGAAGGCUUUCGAGUCGUAAACUCCUGUCCUCGGGGACGAAGCAGUGACGGUACCCGGGGAGGAAGCCCCGGCUCACUCCGCGCCAGCAGCCGCGGUAAUACGGGGGGGGCGAGCGUUGUUCGGAAUUACUGGGCGUAAAGGGCGCGUAGGCGGCCUGAGAAGUUCUGGGUGAAAGUCCUCGGCUCAACCGGGGAAUUGCCUGGAAAACCAUCGGGCUGGAGUGCUGGAGAGGCCGGCGGAAUUCCUGGUGUAGCGGUGAAAUGCGUAGAUAUCAGGAGGAACACCCGAGGCGAAGGCGGCCGGCUGGACUGAUACUGACACUGAGGUGCGAAAGCGUGGGGAGCAAAC
Molecule: ribosomal RNA, 400 nt
Filed under: uncultured bacterium
Lineage: Bacteria
Description: bacterial SSU rRNA
Rfam family: Bacterial small subunit ribosomal RNA
Source: RNAcentral